This 1398-nucleotide ribosomal RNA is filed under the name Triticum aestivum (bread wheat). Its description in RNAcentral is "partial small subunit ribosomal RNA". Lineage: Eukaryota; Viridiplantae; Streptophyta; Magnoliopsida; Poales; Poaceae. The record is from RNAcentral.
AUGGAGUCGUCGCCGCCGCCGCCGCCGCGCCCCGUGGACAAGACCUACUUCUACAGCUGGCUGGAGCACCGCACCAACGCCGACCCCGGCUCGCUGGAGAGCGAGCUGCUCGAGGCGAUUCAGGACGGAGAUGUGGAGGGCCUCAAGGAUAUGGUGAGUAGCAUGGACAAACAGGAUAGGGCAAAGCUUGCUGAUAUGCAUAUAGAUGGCACGGGGUUACUACAAUUAGCAUCAUUCCUUGCUGAAAUGGAAGUAUGCAAGUACUUCGUGGAGGAGCUCGGGUUUGACGUCAAUGCUGGUGACCUCACUGGCGGUGUAACACCUCUGAGUUCUGCAGCAUUGUUUGGAGAAGUUGCCGUUGCAAGAUAUCUUCUUGACAAUGGAGCUGAUCCGAAUAAGCUAGAUGAUAGAGGCUCUGUUGCUCUGCAUAAUGCUGCAAAAAGCGGGAACGGGGAAGUAGUGGAUCUGUUGUUAUCUAGAGGGGCCAGAGUUGAUAUAGCCGUUACUCAUGGAACACCACUUCAUAUUGCUGCUUCCUAUGGGAACACUGGUGCUGUGAAGAUUUUAUUGGAUCACCAUGCAGAUCCAAACAGGGUUUCAGAAGUUUCAGGUACCCCUCUAGUUACGGCGCUUCAUUGUACUAAACAUGGAGUGAGUGAAUCUGAUUCAUUGGAAUGUGUGAAGCUACUUGUCAAGGCUGGCGCUGAUGUGAAUUCUGCUCAUCCAAGUAUUCCCUUGGUGGUGGCAACUACGGUUGGUUUGGCUGACUGUAUUAAGUACUUGCUGGAGGCUGGCGUGGAUCCUAACAUUCUGGAUGAACAGCAUCGCCGUAUGCCAAUACAAAUUGCUGCAAGUUUUGGAAGAAGAAGCCAUGUGGAGAUUCUAUUUCCUUUCACUUCUCCCAUUAGAGCAGUGGCAAACUGGUCAGUUGAAGGAAUUAUUGCUCACGAGAAGUCAAGAUGCUCAAUUUCCAAGGACGAGUCUUGUAACAAGAUCGACGAUAAAGUAGCCGUGCUGAAAUCUCAAGGAAAAGAGGCAGUUAAGAGAAAGGACUACCUUCGCGCUUCAAAUCUCUACACUAAGGCACUUGAACUUAGGUAUUUAGAUGAAACAUUGUAUUCAAAUAGGAGCCUUUGCUACCUAAAAACAGGCAAGCCACAAAAGGCUUUGCUGGAUGCUGAUAUUUGCAUUGCAAGAAAACCCGAGUGGGUGAAAGGUUACUACCGGAAAGGAGCUGCUCAUAUGUCGCUCAAGGAGUACGAGGAAGCAUCCGAAGCUUUCCAAGAUGGACUGGAAUUGGAUCCUGGGAACGAUGAGAUAAAGAAAGCUUUGCGGGAGGCUUGGGAGGCGAUGUCAAAGGAUGAAGCCGCUGGAGGAAGCAUCGAGUCCAUAGAUUAG